CUACGGAGGAUCCAAGCGUUAUCCGGAUUUAUUGGGUUUAAAGGGUGCGCAGGCGGCCUUAUAAGUCAGUGGUAAAAUCUCCCGGCUCAACCGGGAAACUGCCAUUGAUACUGUAAGGCUAGAAUACAGACGAGGUAGGCGGAAUGUAGCAUGUAGCGGUGAAAUGCUUAGAUAUGCUACAGAACACCAAUCGCGAAGGCAGCUUACCAGACUGUAAUUGACGCUAAGGCACGAAAGCGUGGGGAGCGAACAGGAUUAGAAACCCCAGUAGUCC
RNAcentral lists this ribosomal RNA (274 nucleotides) under uncultured bacterium. Its description in RNAcentral is "partial 16S ribosomal RNA". It matches the Rfam family "Bacterial small subunit ribosomal RNA", at positions 523 to 796 of the family's 1533-position model. The record is from RNAcentral.